AAUGCCUCUAAACGAUGAAGAAGAACACCACCAAUUGUUGGCGGAUAGAUUACUCGAGGAAGAAUCUGCCUAUGAAUACUCCGACAAAGUCCAUAUUAUCGGAGUCGACGAUGAUGAUGAUUUCACCAAAACUCCUCCUUUUUCCUGGAAAAAACUAUGGGCUUUUACUGGACCGGGUUUCUUGAUGAGUAUAGCCUUUUUGGAUCCGGGAAAUCUUGAAGGAGAUCUUCAGGCAGGGGCUAUCGCUGGGUAUUCUCUGUUAUGGCUACUCUUUUGGGCUACGGCUAUGGGAUUACUUGUUCAGCUUUUAGCGGCUCGUUUGGGUGUCGCUACUUCUAGGCAUUUGGCUGAGCUAUGUAGGGAUGAGUAUCCGAAAUGGGCUCGAUUGCUUUUGUGGGUCAUGACCGAAUUGGCUCUAAUUGGGGCUGAUAUUCAAGAGGUUAUUGGAAGUGCUAUU
Molecule: unclassified non-coding RNA, 457 nt
Filed under: Hevea brasiliensis (rubber tree)
Lineage: Eukaryota; Viridiplantae; Streptophyta; Magnoliopsida; Malpighiales; Euphorbiaceae
Source: RNAcentral